GCUUACGGCCAUACCACCCUGAGCACGCCCAAUCUUGUCUGAUCUCGGAAGCUAAGCAGGGUUGGGCUUGGUUAGUACUCGGAUGGGAGACUGCCUGGGAAUACCGGUGCUGUAAGCU
This is a ribosomal RNA of Oreochromis aureus, 118 nucleotides long. The record is from Ensembl. NCBI's taxonomy places the organism in Eukaryota, Metazoa, Chordata, Actinopteri, Cichliformes, Cichlidae.